Molecule: long non-coding RNA, 794 nt
Organism: Salvia miltiorrhiza (redroot sage)
Lineage: Eukaryota; Viridiplantae; Streptophyta; Magnoliopsida; Lamiales; Lamiaceae
Exons: 2
Source: RefSeq, a predicted model, not a curated record
CGGCGCCCCUCCCUUCUUCUUCGGCGAAGCGCCGCCUCCGUCACCGGCGAGAGCGCAGCCCCUCCGGAACCCUCGACUCUCAUCCCCGUCCUCUCUUUUUCGCUUUUCGCUCACUCCCACAUACUCAGCGCCGCAGCAGCAGCCGCCGGUAAAGCGACAGCCGCCGUUGCACAGCUCCCUCUCCCUCGCUCGUCUCUCGCCUAGCCCGCUCGGAAUGACAGCAGAGCCGUCGAGCCCUCUCCCUAAAUCCCCAGAACUCGAGCUAUAACCCCUGCCUCCUGCAACCUCCGGCGAGCAGCGGCCAAAACCGCCACCACCGUCUCUCUAUUUCCCUCUCAACAAUCAAACACACGCGCACGGACAUGGCGUAAGCCACGCCGCCGCCGGAUACAGGACAGCAAACGCCCCACCGCGGUGCGCCGCCGCCUGCUCCUUCUUUUCCGACAAACAGCCGAAGCUACCUCCGUCUCCGCCCCGCCCGAAAUCGAUCGGAAACGACGACAGGUUCACCGCCGCCGCUCCGUUGCCGACGACGAGCCACCGAGGCUGUCAUUUCCCGACCUCGACUCACACACAAAACAGGGGUGUCAAGCAUCAAAUCAGUUCAAGGGUUUUCUUGUGCAAAUUCACUUUACAACUGUAAUACUCAAUAUAAAGUCUUUUAUUCAUCUGUAAUUUCAUUUCACAUAUAACAUAUCUUGUAAACAUAUAGUGAAACGUCAAGUAACUGUGUGUGUUGGGAUUCUGUGUUGGUGAUUUAGAGAAUUAAACAAAAGGGGAUAAUACCUUGAGUA